GUGAACCAGUACCGUGAGGGAAAGGCGAAAAGAACCCCGGCGAGGGGAGUGAAAAAGAACCUGAAACCGUGUACGUACAAGCAGUGGGAGCACAGGUUUACCUGUGUGACUGCGUACCUUUUGUAUAAUGGGUCAGCGACUUAUAUUCUGUAGCAAGGUUAACCGUAUAGGGGAGCCGCAGGGAAACCGAGUCUUAACCGGGCGUUAAGUUGCAGGGUAUAGACCCGAAACCCGGUGAUCUAGCCAUGGGCAGGUUGAAGGUUGGGUAACACUAACUGGAGGACCGAACCGACUAAUGUUGAAAAAUUAGCGGAUGACCUGUGGCUGGGGGUGAA
This 335-nucleotide ribosomal RNA is filed under the name Salmonella enterica subsp. enterica serovar Agona. RNAcentral describes it as "partial 23S ribosomal RNA". It matches the Rfam family "Bacterial large subunit ribosomal RNA", at positions 490 to 825 of the family's 2925-position model. Lineage: Bacteria; Pseudomonadati; Pseudomonadota; Gammaproteobacteria; Enterobacterales; Enterobacteriaceae. The record is from RNAcentral.